GACGAACGCUGGCGGCGUGCUUAACACAUGCAAGUCGAACAGUGGCGAACGGGUGAGUAACACGUGAGUAACCUACCCUCCACUUUGGGAUAACUCCGAGAAAUCAGGGCUAAUACUAUAUCGUGGGGGAUGGGAUCGCGGCGUAUCAGUUUGUUGGUGAGGUAGGGGUCACCAAGGCGUGACGGGUAGCCGGCCUGAGAGGGGGACCGGCCACACUGGGACUGAGAGACGGGCCAGACUGGUACGGGAGGCAGCAGUGGGGAAUAUUGCACAAUGGGCGAAAGCCUGAUGAAGCGACGCUGCGGGGGGGAUGAAGGCUUUCGGGUUGUAAACCUCUUACAGUAAGGAAGCGGUACUUGCAGAAGAAGCGCCGGCUAACUACGUGCCAGCAGCCGCGGUAAUAC
This 404-nucleotide ribosomal RNA is filed under the name uncultured bacterium. RNAcentral's name for it is "partial 16S ribosomal RNA". It matches the Rfam family "Bacterial small subunit ribosomal RNA", at positions 28 to 526 of the family's 1533-position model. The record is from RNAcentral.